AGCGAACGCUGGCGGCAGGCCUAACACAUGCAAGUCGAACGAACUCUUCGGAGUUAGUGGCGGACGGGUGAGUAACACGUGGGAACGUGCCUUUUGGUUCGGAAUAACUCAGGGAAACUUGUGCUAAUACCGAAUGUGCCCUUCGGGGGAAAGAUUUAUCGCCAUUAGAGCGGCCCGCGUCUGAUUAGCUAGUUGGUGAGGUAACGGCUCACCAAGGCGACGAUCAGUAGCUGGUCUGAGAGGAUGACCAGCCACACUGGGACUGAGACACGGCCCAGACGGGGGAGGGAGGAAGGGGGGGGGGAGCGUGCGAAAUGGGGGAGAGCCGGACGAAGGGGGGGGGAGAGGAUGAUGAGUGUCGUAGGAGUGAAAAAUGCUGACGGGGGGGAGAGGAAGGCAGGUGCCGGGGGAAGAGGCCCAGGCUAAGGUGGUGCGGGGAGGGGGGGUAAGAAGAGGAGAAGGAAGGUGAGGAC
Molecule: ribosomal RNA, 473 nt
Filed under: uncultured bacterium
Lineage: Bacteria
Description: partial 16S ribosomal RNA
Rfam family: Bacterial small subunit ribosomal RNA (bases 20-335)
Source: RNAcentral